CACAGCAGGCGGAGAGCAACAACCUCCACCCUUGGGCCCUGGGAGAGAUCUUCAGCCCCCUGCUCCUGCAGCUGCCUGGCGCCAGCCCAGAGCUGAGCCCUGACUUCUCCGUGCUGUUUUUGGAGACACUCCUGCAGACGAAGGAGCUGGAGCCGGAACAGUUGUCUCCAGCCUUGCCUCCCAAACCGCCGAAGCCAA
This is a long non-coding RNA of Empidonax traillii (willow flycatcher), 198 nucleotides long. RefSeq lists it as uncharacterized. The transcript has 3 exons. The record is from RefSeq and is a predicted model, not a curated record. NCBI's taxonomy places the organism in Eukaryota, Metazoa, Chordata, Aves, Passeriformes, Tyrannidae.